This is a long non-coding RNA of Hippocampus zosterae (dwarf seahorse), 773 nucleotides long. RefSeq lists it as uncharacterized. NCBI's taxonomy places the organism in Eukaryota, Metazoa, Chordata, Actinopteri, Syngnathiformes, Syngnathidae. The record is from RefSeq and is a predicted model, not a curated record. The transcript has 3 exons.
ACGGUUGUUUGCCAAGCGCCAAAAGAAUGUAGAAGAAGAAGCCUAAAAAAACAGGAUGGUGAGAGACAAUGACAGUCUGAAUUGAAAUGGAAAGCGAACAAGCUGUCUACUUUUUUGUUUCUUGUCACCUUGAGUAGGUUUCCCGGAGCAUGCGAAGACCUGUUUUGUCCAUGAAGGAAUAGCCGCGGCUCGGCUCGCUCAUUGCGCGGCGGACUUUGGGGCUUGGCAAGAUCCCCGUUUCCCCGCUUGAGAAUGACGGCGUGCGUCCCUCACAAAGGCUGCAAGGGCACGUCGGUCAUUUGUCGUCCCGGACAACGGCGGUGGGGGUGUCUGUGGGAUGAGCGUCCCGUUGAUGUGACAAGAGGCCACCGGAGAAUCCGGCACGUCACCUUUGGUCGCCACGGUAACAGGGGCCGAGUCGGCCACGGCGGGAGGGCCCUUCGGUGGCCGUGCCGACUUUGAGGACGUUAAUCGGUGCUUGUGGCUGCGCUGUACUGCGGUGAACUUCAUCUGGGGCAGCUCGCACGUGAAACGCGCAUGUUCCUUUUCUCCCUUUGCUUCGCUUUCAGGGUGCAACGUAAACGUUCAGUAUAGGAAUGCUGUUGCAGAGGUGGCAAAAUGAUUCACAGCACAGAUAGUUGUGUCAGAAAAUACGAAUCGCGUCCCAAUUCAACUCCUGCCCUCAAAGGCAAACCAAAACCAGGAUGUCCAAACCUGGUAUUUGAAAUGCGCACGUUAGCCGCAUUAGCUUGCCGUUUGUUUCUGUGCACCAA